This 628-nucleotide small RNA is filed under the name Vigna angularis var. angularis. Its description in RNAcentral is "Non-protein coding transcript". Lineage: Eukaryota; Viridiplantae; Streptophyta; Magnoliopsida; Fabales; Fabaceae. The record is from RNAcentral.
CCAGCCUAUAAUGAUAAUUGUAAAAUAUAGAGCUCAUAUUCUGUUUUGGUCUGGGGUUCUAUUGGAUAGUUGCUAUUCUUCUUUUGGCAAUCUGUAUCUGAUUGGGGUCAUUUAAUAUGGAACUAUAUUAAUAGUUCUGAAAAUCUGGGGCUAGUUUUGUUUCGUGAUAUGAUUUUGUACUCUUAUGAAUCAUAUCCUCUGUAAUAUUAUACCCAAGAAUGAUGUUCCCAUUAACAUGUUUUGUUGGAAUUCAAUAAUUUAAGAUAAAAGUUAAAAUUAUUUUUGUUAAAAAUUGAAAAAUAAAAGGAAAACUAGAAGAAUUCAGUGGGAAUAAGUAGUUAUUGUGGACAAUGACUUUCACAUCUGGGGCAAUAUGAGAGAUAUCAGAUCAUUUUCAUGAUGGUGUGCUUUUGCUGGUAAUAAAGAUAUCCCAGAAUAUAUUUCCCUAACUUUUACCAAUCGUGAGAAUACUUAUUCCCAUCCUCAUUAUUCUCAGGAAUGAAACAAAGACAUGUAACAAACAUCUUUAAUUGAAGAAUUUUCAGGUUGUUUUCUGCUUCCACAACGUAAUGAUUUUUGCAGCUGUUAAUCGUAAUUAAACUGCACAAUUACGUACCAGAAUAAAAAU